This 407-nucleotide ribosomal RNA is filed under the name uncultured Actinomycetales bacterium. Its description in RNAcentral is "bacterial SSU rRNA". It matches the Rfam family "Bacterial small subunit ribosomal RNA", at positions 355 to 774 of the family's 1533-position model. Lineage: Bacteria; Bacillati; Actinomycetota; Actinomycetes; Actinomycetales. The record is from RNAcentral.
UGGGGAAUAUUGCACAAUGGGCGCAAGCCUGAUGCAGCAACGCCGCGUGCGGGAUGACGGCCUUCGGGUUGUAAACCGCUUUCACCCAUGACGAAGCGAUAGUGACGGUAGUGGGAGAAGAAGCACCGGCCAACUACGUGCCAGCAGCCGCGGUGAUACGUAGGGUGCGAGCGUUGUCCGGAAUUAUUGGGCGUAAAGAGCUUGUAGGCGGUUGAUUGCGUCAGAAGUGAAAUCUCAGGGCUUAACUCUGAGCGUGCUUCUGAUACGGGUUGACUAGAGGAAAGUAGGGGAGAACGGAAUUCCUGGUGGAGCGGUGGAAUGCGCAGAUAUCAGGAGGAACACCGGUGGCGAAGGCGGUUCUCUGGACUUUUCCUGACGCUGAGAAGCGAAAGCGUGGGGAGCAAACA